RNAcentral lists this transfer RNA (72 nucleotides) under Hemisquilla californiensis. RNAcentral describes it as "tRNA-Met". The record is from RNAcentral. Lineage: Eukaryota; Metazoa; Arthropoda; Malacostraca; Stomatopoda; Hemisquillidae.
UAGAAAGAUAAGCUAACUAAGCUAGUGGGCCCAUACCCCGUUUAUGAGGGUAUAAAACCCCUCUCUUUUUAA